RNAcentral lists this ribosomal RNA (464 nucleotides) under Daplasa irrorata. RNAcentral's name for it is "partial large subunit ribosomal RNA". The record is from RNAcentral. Lineage: Eukaryota; Metazoa; Arthropoda; Insecta; Lepidoptera; Erebidae.
UGCCCACUGAAUAAAAUAAUUUAAAGGGCUGCAGUAUUUUGACUGUACAAAGGUAGCAUAAUCAUUAGUCAUUUAAUUGAUGACUUGUAUGAAAGAUUGGAUGAAAUAUUAACUGUUUCUUUAAUAUAUUAUAUAAUUUAAUUUUUUAAUUAAAAAGUUAAAAUGAAUUAAAAAGACGAGAAGACCCUAUAGAGUUUUAUUAUUAAUUAAUUAAAAUUAUUUAUAUAUUCAAUAAUUUUAAUUGAAAAAAUAAUUUUGUUGGGGUGAUAGAAAAAUUAAUUAAACUUUUUUUAAUAAUAAAAACAAAAAUAAAUGGUUAAAUGAUCCAAUUAAUAUUGAUUAUAAGAAAUAAUUACCUUAGGGAUAACAGCGUAAUUUUUUUUUUUAGUUCAAAUAAAAAAAAAAGUUUGCGACCUCGAUGUUGGAUUAAGAUAAAAUUUAAAUGCAGAAGUUUAAAAUUUUGA